ACAGUCCCCGCGUCCUCUCGCACUCGGUCCGCCCCUCUCACCGAUGGCGCCGUCCGUGUCCGCCUGCCUCUGCCGUCUCCUUCCUCGCUCAUCUUCUUCUCCCCGCUCACGGCCUUCACUCCCCUCUCUGUCCCCGUCUGACCCAGAUGCGCCCGUAGUCCGCCGGCGCCAGCGGCGCCGCAGGUGGAGCAGACGCGGCUAGGAGGAGCACGAGCCACCGCCGCCAUCUACCCGACGGCGAUGUGAAGGAAGCAACCAGAGAUGGAGGGCGCCGCCGGCGCUGUGACCCCGGGCGGGCCAAACGGGGUGUGCGACACCAACAGCCUGCCAGUGUGUGCUCGCCUCCGCAGGUUCGCGCCGCGGUCGCCGGAGGAGUGGGCACCGCAGCGUCGAGCAAGGCUACCCUGCUCACCUAGGGAUUUUCCUCCAUGGCCGCCAAACUAAAUGUCUCAGUCCCAGGGCAGUGGCGGAGCUACGGGCCAAUGGUUGGGCGGGCCAACUAGAGAAGCGCACAUGAAUUUUUGCACUCGCGACCUAUUUCUCUCUCAGACACAUUGAUUUGAACAAAUCUGGGCGGGCCACUGCCUUGUUUUGCUUCGACAAAGCUCCGCCUUGCCCAGGUGAACUCGUGCACCUUUUGAACCUGCUCUCUACCACGAUUCAUAUUUUUCUGCAUCAGUUUCAUUCCUACAAGUGAUGAAUUGUCUAUUUGCCACAUUGCUGCCCCAGGUAUGUCCCAAGUGAACUGGCUUAUUGCGAUGAUUUGGUCGAUUCAGACUUCUCUUUAUUUUGAAUGGCUUUCACCUUUGGGCAAUUCAAUUGAUGGAAGGUGUUGUUUCAAUGAUAUUGAAGCUUUUUUAGGGAAUGGCGUUCUCGAUGGCCGGGAGGGACCGGCUCGGCCUCCAUGGCCUGCUCCCGACCAGUGUCGUUUCCUUGCAGCAGCAGAUGACCGAUUCCCUGCCGGUUCAGUUCCUUCCUUGCUUACCACUCAACUGACAGCCAUCAUUGGUAUCGUGCUCUGGCUCCCUAUUUCUCAUUGCUAAGGAGAAGCAUGUCCACGAGUUUGCAAUGGUGGGUGGCACAUCCAUUGGUCAAGAUCGAGGACAGUGGCCUCGACAGCGUGCUGGUGGUGGCCUGAGUACCAUCUAUCGGUGAGGGGAAACGCAGGCCUACCCCUUCUUGACAGUACUCUCAAGUUUAGUCAUUGCAUUUACUGAUGUCGAGGUGGACGAGGAUCUUCUCGGCCCUGCUCUGAUAUUGUGAAAACUCAUGCUGCCGACAGCCGCCUCCAUGCUCCAACUGCUGCAGCCUGUAGUAUAAGCUCGCAUUGAUCCUCGGUGGUGAGAAAAGUUUACUACUACAAGUCCAGUUUGUUUAGUGUCCCAGAAAAAGUUGACUACUCAUGCAUGCUAGACACACAACUUAUUUGAUUCCUAUUGCCAUAUAUCAACCUAGCUGAACUAAAGAGCAAGGUAAAUCAGUACUUCCAACUACACUAAAUUGUUGCUUCCACAAAAUACCUUGCUGAUUUCUAUCCACUCAGAGCAGAUCAUAACCCUUUUCAUGGAAUAAUGUAUAAGUUUAGAUCUGAAUAGAUGCUAAGGCAUAAUCAAUAUCGAAUAUCUGUUGGUAACUUGGUAUACAUUCCAGAGUUAUCAUUAUAAAGAGCAAGGGUUUAUGCCUUUCCAAAUUAAUUAUGUAUUUUAUCCUUGAGGCUUCUUCUGUUAAUGUAAAUGCUCUUCCUUACCGGUAUGUAGGGUUAUAUGUAUGUUUAUAGAUUUUAUUCAUUUUUUAUUUUAGUGCAUUAAAAUUGUGAUGUCCUUUCUUACUAUCAUAUUGUUUGCUUAAAACAAAGACUGAUAAACCUUCUCCCAUUGUAUCCACUCCCGUAUCGUUAUUCUUCACUGGAAAUUUAUGGGCAAGUGUGAAGAAAUGAGAAUGUAGUUCUUAAACUAAAAUUUCUAUAAACAUGGAAAGUGGAAGUUUUAUUAUUAUUUUUCAUAAAGUUUCAGGCACGACAAACUAUGGGGGUCCUAAUAUUUUCCUUUCAUUUAAUUUGGCUUAUAAAGAUUUCCAGUGGGCAUUUAGGCGGUUAGGCCUAAGAACUUCCUUAUGAAUUUAUCACAGAAAUGAGAUAACAAAAGAUCUAAAUUGCUUUUUGUUCUUUGUUUAUUUUUGAAAGACUUAGCAUGUCAUGUAGGACUGGUUGGUUGUGUAAUGGCCUCUAACAAGCAGAGGAAAGGAAUGAUUAUAUAAUGAUAUUGGAAAGAGGACCAACUAAUAUUGAUAAAGACUUGUCUUUUCUUUUGUUCGGACUAUACUGAAUAAGAAUACACAAGAAAGACCAGGACUAACAUAAGUGAAAAAUGUUAACAAUAUUUAGUCUGUCCAGUCAUCAAAACAUGAAACUUGUUUCUGGUUCCACUCUAAUAAUCGCCUUCAAAAACCAAAGUUGAAACAGUUAUCAUUUAAUCAUUUACAGUCAUGUUGUACAUGCUGGUUGAAGCAAGCGACAAUCCGGCAGUAGCAGUUGGCGGUGAGCUUUUUCAGAUUUCCGCCUCUGAGUGAUCAGUUUAUGAAGGCAAGAUUAAACCAGCCUUAAAUCUCAUUUCCUAUAAAGUUUUGCUGUAGAGUGGUCAGUUUUUGCAUGUCUAUUACUUGCAUAUUAAAAAAACCCGUCUUACCACUCUCCCCUGAAGGAAUACCAUCUUUUUAUGAAUUUUUUUGUUUACCAUUAAUGCUUUCAUGCUUGAUCGUUCUUGAUAAAAUGUCACUCUACCUCACGGGGUGCAAUAUGGCAUUAUCUAAUGCUCAAUGGAAAUAGGUCUUAGCAUCAAGUAGUAUAAACAUCAUAAGGAAUGAUGGGAUAUUGAUUACAAAAACACCAUCAGCAUGGCAGACUUUGUCUUGUGAGAAAUAUAAUAAACUAAAAAACAGUCUGUUGCUAGUCUCUAAUUUCACAUGGAUAUUUGGAUUUUGGGAUGCAUGUGUAGUUUCAGUAAUGACAUAAUUUUUGCAACUUGAAGGACAAACUAGACACUUUAAUCAAGCAAAUUAAGAAGGAUAAAAACAGGGCAGGUGAGUCCAAAGAUAUAUCAGAUGUUAAGGACAUCUGCAUUCUUCUAGAGGCUAUACAGACAAAAUCUGGACAAUAUACCCCUCCACAGCAGACAUGGGAGCUCGAGUGCAACACGCGCAAGAUUCUAUUUGGAACACGCAAGCAUGAAAAGGUGUUGCAGGCGUCCAAUCGAGCUCCGCAGCAUCGAGUGCCUUGCUGUUUAUGUAGAUGUGGUACAUGUCUGAAUUUGUGCUCUCUUUUGGUAGAUAUAUGGUACGUAAAGACGGAUCACAUCACUGUCUGUUUAAAUGCAUGAAAUCCGGUACUGAAUUGUCUAAGUUACUGUCUGAGAUUCAAUUUGUGCUUCAUUUUACUUGAUGUGGUAUGCAAUGACAAGGCGGAACAUGUAUAAUUUUUGGUGCCAACACUGGGGGAUCACACUGUUUCUGCUUCAGACGAGUGUUGUUUGAUCAAGUAUUUGUUGGCAACUGUUUCUUAGACAGUCAACUAGCUGUUGUUGUGCAACCUAUCCAGCCUUUUGAUACUCUCUUUGAUUUUUGAUCCAUUUUUUGUGUCUGAUCGGGCUUACAAGUGCUGCUACCAAAGGAUUUAUGUAUAUGGCAGACCUGAUAAAGUCUUAACUGUUUAUGUCUUCAGAAUACUGGAUCAGGCACAAUGUUUAACGACUCUAAAUUUGGUGGUUCAGUUUCA
Triticum dicoccoides is the source of this 3769-nucleotide RNA transcript. RefSeq lists it as uncharacterized. The transcript is spliced from 9 exons. Lineage: Eukaryota; Viridiplantae; Streptophyta; Magnoliopsida; Poales; Poaceae. The record is from RefSeq and is a predicted model, not a curated record.